RNAcentral lists this ribosomal RNA (504 nucleotides) under uncultured bacterium. Its description in RNAcentral is "partial 16S ribosomal RNA". It matches the Rfam family "Bacterial small subunit ribosomal RNA", at positions 29 to 523 of the family's 1533-position model. The record is from RNAcentral.
AACGAACGCUGGCGGCACGUUUUAAGCAUGCAAGUCGAAUGGCAGCAGGGGGCAACUCUGUGAGAAUGGCGAACGGGUGAGUAACACGUAGGUGAUCUGCCUUGAGGAUGGGGAUAGCCUGUGGAAACACAGGGUAAUACCGAAUGAGCUGACGGGACUUUGGUUUUGUUAGUAAAGGUGCUACGGCACCGCCUUGAGAGGAGCCUGCGGCUGAUUAGCUAGUUGGUGGGGUAAGAGCUUACCAAGGCGACGAUCAGUAGCCGGCCUGAGAGGGUGUACGGCCACACUGGAACUGCGACACGGUCCAGACUCCUACGGGAGGCAGCAGCUAAGAAUCUUCCGCAAUGGGCGAAAGCCUGACGGAGCGAUGCCGCGUGAUCGAUGAAGGUCGAGAGAUUGUAAAGAUCUUUUCUACAUGAGGAAUAAGUCUGGGAGGGAAUGCCCGGAUGAUGACGUUAGUGUAGGAAUAAGCCCCGGCUAAUUACGUGCCAGCCGCCGCCGUAA